AGUAUUGCUGAGUACAAAUGUGCAUUUUAUUCAGAAUGGUCAUUUUUUAAAGGCAUCUAUUGUAGCUGAUUCACUAACAUCCAGGGGUUCUUGCCAUACACACAGCACAGAUUUUUUUGAUUAUGUAGAUUUUUUUUUCCUAUUGCAGUUUCAUAUGCAAAGCAUGCAUCAGCCACAUCCAUGCUAUCUCCUAAAGCAGUCAUUCUGAAACCCAAUCUGGGGACAGUGCAGACUAAAUAAAAUUUCAUUUUGAUUUGGCCUCCCGCUGAGAAUGGGACUGCUUUGUUUCAGCCGACAGAACCAGCAAGCCAGAAAGGUGUUGAAUACACAAAAACUGACUUAACGGACAAUUGUGAUGAAAUUGGAAGAGGGACAGCAUCUGCACUACUUCCAUUUUCAGAACAAAGAAUUUGACUUUCAGACAUGAAGGAUCUGGAGGAGUUCAUAUUACACAUUUGUCUGUGUACAGUACACAUAUCAUGAAUUCAGUGAGAGAUAAAAGAAGCAAUACAGUUGGGAUGUUCAAGCUUUCAAAGCCUGCCUUCACAUUAAGCAAGAAAUGCCUCUUAAAACAUAUAUUAUGGGACCAGAUGAACAUGUCCUUCAGACUUGGAGAAUUAUUUAAAAUAUUCCAGUAGAUGAAGAUUUGGAUUUGGCUUGCUUGAUGCUGGACGAUUAAUGAAGGAAGCCCUAACUGGACAAAUGUUGGUCUCCUGAGACAAUGUGUUGUUGAUAACAGGUCUGAUUUGAGCAAGUCUAGUCAAAUUCAAUUUUAAUACUAUUUAAAGGCACACACAAGGCACUUAUCACUGAGUUUGGGCUGAGUUGUUUUUGAAGUCUCUUGUUCUACCAAAGUUUAUUCCCUUUAAGUAUUAAGAAAGAGUACCAAAACCACAUAUCAUUCUGCUGCAGAAAUGCAUAUUUUGCUUUAUAUUGUUAAAUUUUGCUCAGUGUUUGUCAUGUUCUUUCAUACUGACUCAGACUCAGGUAUGUAACUCAUCACUGUAUGACUGCUCCUGUGGAGAAAUUACUGCACUCUGAUUUGUGUGAACCUUAAAAAUUAAUGAGUUAAAGAAGAUAUAAGAAAGUAUGGCAAUCAGUUCUCAGUUUAGUGAGGGUAGUCUUUUUUAAAUAAUCCUUAGUUAAUCCUUAGACUAAAAGUUGUAGGGUUAACCCUUGUGUAGGAUUUUUUCAAUUAACUGUGACUAGGUCAUUAAUUUUCAUGAAGUAUGAAUCACUUUCCACUGCACUACCAAGUCAAGAUAAGUAUCAAACAUCAAAUCACUGUCUUUAGUGGAUCAUUGCUUGGAAUGUGAAAUUCAUCUUGCACCUCAGUCCCAGCUCUGCUUGAAGAAGAUUAAAGUUCUCCCAUCCCACUAGAAAACUGGACCUCCAGCAUGUUUCCCUUCUGCAUCAAGAUGAAGCAGUGAUAUCUAGAAGUUUUAAAAUAAAAGAGGUAAUUAUAGGAAAAGCUUUUUCUCUCAAAGUGUGGUCAAGCACUGGAAUGGCCACCUCCCAAGGAGGUGGUGGAGUCACCUGGCAGUGUUCAUGAGGCGUCUGGAUGAGGAGCUACAAGAGACGUUUUAGUAGCGUAGUGGUAGUAGUGAAUGGACACCUGGACUAGAUGAUCUUACAGGUCCCUUCCAACCUUGUGAUUCUAUGAAUCUAUGACUAUGUGAUGAUUGAGGUGCUGCCCUUAAGUACGUUGAAACUCUCACUUCCUGCCAAUCAACCUUGUAUGCUACAGGUGUGAAGUCUCACCCAGAAGAGUUUAGAGUACUUUCCUUCUUUGGAGAGCUCUCAAUUUCUAAAAAAUAGGUAAAACAGCAAAGAGGGACUUGCAUCCACACGCCUUACACCCUUUGUAAAAGUCCAGCCUGUCUUUCUUCCUUUGUUUCAAAAAGGGGCUAUUUAAAGAGAGACUAACACCCUGGAAUUCUCUUCUCAGCAUGAAGUUGACAAUAUUUGAUCAAAAGAAAUUAAUAAUCCAGUUCUUAUGUUUUGCAGUCAUAGAAGUUACGCUCUAAAAUGUAACAACCUCAGAUAUGAGGAUGCUAUGAGGACACACCAAGUCAGUUCUCUUUCCCACUCCAGGACAUACAGCCUUAAUAUCACUGCCACCUUGCAGGGAUGCCCUUUAACCACACCGUCUGAAUACUCUCUCUCAAAUAAAGACACGCCACAGUUUCAGAAACAAUUUAAAGAUUUAACAUCAGGAGAAAACAAAAAGGGAAUUCAAACAUCCUUCAAGCCAAGAUAUAUUAUUGUUAAUACAAUUUAAUCAGUUUAAAAUUAGUAUAGAUAGUGCAAACAGUCUGAUCUUUAUAGCUUUGUGCACUUCUAGAUCAAUGGCUUCUACACAUUUUCCAAACAUUUCUGUAGAAAGACAAGACUACAGUAGAAACACAAAGCUCUGUGGGAUGGUUGCUUCCCAAAGUUGUGUCCUCCUCACACCCCUGCAAUGAAUCUCCAGCAGAGUUGAUUGCUGGGAGUUAGACCCCUGAGGUACACGAGCGCUAUCCUUUCUGGAUUAAAGUUACCAUGUAAAGGACACAGUCAGGAGAUCUGUUUCUCAAUACUGUGCCUACUUAAGGCUCCUGAAGGUGGGAUUAAUUAUGUGUGAUUAAUUAAAUCAUGAGUCAUGACCUCCUUUUUUUUCCUGCCACAUUACUUAUAAACAGGACAAUCAGUGAAGUUAAGUGGUAUAGGAAGUAGAUUUAGAGGCAAUAAAAAGAAAUGGGUUGCGUUGCAUAUGGUCAGUCUACAAAAUUUGCUGGCACAGAUGAAGAUCUGACAAAUAGAGCUGUUUGGAGCAGUAGCUGCUAAUGCUGUUACAAUAACUGAUGGGACCAGUCCUGUAUUACUGGGAUUUCUGGGUGCAGUGGGAAUGCAGAAUUGAGACUUGCUUGGCUAAUAAAUUAAGAACAAGCGCUCCAUGUGCUGGCAAGUCAGACAUGAAUGCUCUCCAUGGACAACAUCACUGUACUAUUAGCUUGAUCUAUGACUUGCCAUUUCAUGGUUUGGUUAUUUGUUUAUUUCUCUGCCUUUUUAAUUCCUCUGGAAAAUACAGUAUUUGCUCUCACUGUUGACUGAAUGACCAGACUUGAGCAAAAGAUAUAGCAUUCUUCUUCUCUGACCUUUAUAUCAAAAUUGAUUAACAAUAACUCUUUUGCAGAAAAGGACUGAAAAUAAGAGGUGGAUUUUCAUCUUCAAUGAACUCUAGUUACCAAAGUGAAAACCAGCUAAUUUUGAUGGGGCAACUGACCACCUUCUCAGCAAUAUCUGAGUAUACACUCCCUGUUGAAAUGGCAAAGUGUUGCUGCAUUCAUAGAUAAGAGCAAGCCUCUUAGCUGUGAAUGUGAAGAGAUGAAGCAGGCAAAAAUGAAGAAAACUGAAGAGAAGCAUGAAUAGCUUUGCUGCCACUAUAGUUUAUGACACUGCAUUGGGUCCCAAUUAAGGAUCAGUGAGUGAAUAGGUGUGUAAGACAGAAACAUCUUUAUUCAACGAUGAACAAAUGUUUCAGAGGAAAUAAUUCUUUUUAAAGCAUGCAAAAUACUUUCUCAAACAUCGCCUAAUGACAGUACUAGAGUAGGAGCUUAAUUUCAUCUUCUGAUUUCAGACCUUUACAUUGGAACAGUACUAUGGACAGAUCCAAAUAAUAAUGUUCUUCAUCUUAUCAAGUGCUGCCUCAGUAUUAGUACUGGCAUUUUUCUGUUAAAGUUACUCACAUGAGAGGAAUCACUGAGUUACAAAGGAUCAUCUUCUAUUCCUUCCUUCUGUACUUAAACCAGACUUGGAUAUUUGAAUGUUCAUGCAAAUUUUGGCAUCUUUCAUAGUUGUGCACUUUGCACUAAAAGCCACUUUGCUAAUUGUAGAGGUAAAAGAUAUCAUCACCUUUGUUUAACCAUGAAAGUGCUGAUUUUCAAAUUACUUGAAGUUUUAAUUAUUGUGAUUAUAAUUCAGUGCUGCUUCUGUGACAUUUCACAUUCAGAAGUUACUUCAGUGUAAACCGUUUGAGAUAACAGGCAGAAAUAAAUAGCUUUGUCUCUAUAUUCAAAGUAUCUGGAUGAUAUAUUGAAAAUUGAGAGACCAGGAACAUCCUUUGCUGUGGUUUCCUUCCAUGGAUGUCCACGCUACAUUUCCAUUCUCCUCUACAUUGCAAAGCACAGGCACCACUUCCUUCACAAGCUGGGAUACAGAGGCCUUAGUUAAAAGGCAUACAUUUCUGCCUAAUUUGUGGUGCACUUCGUAGAAAAUGUGAGGGCACGUCUGAAAUAGCUGCUUUGUCUUCCAGUCCUUUGUUUACGCAGGGCAAGGAGAUGUCCUUGAUCUAGCAGCCAGUAACACAACUUACCUUCCUUCACAUCUGGCCCUGGUGGAUGAAUGUAGACAUAAGCUGGAUCAUUCAAUCAGCCAUCAACACAAAAUGACUUUUCUCAGCAUUAAGUUUUGGUAUUAAUGCCAGAUACAGGAGAGGAUUGAAAAGUGAUUAGAAAAAAAAAAUACUAAAUGAAUUCACACUUCACAGAACUUUCAAUUUCUUUCUGAAAAAGAAGAGAACGGAAUGGACUAGAAGAGGUAGGAGGAGAAGUGAACACAGUGGAAAAAUAGUGGCAAAAAUCUAACAUUAAAUAUUUCCUUUAAUUGAAGUCAGAGGUAUACAUUAUAUUCAACCAAACAUCCAAAUCUUCCACCACAGGUCAGGACUAAGGCCCAGAUGACUUCAUUUUUCAUUUCAUUUAUCUCCAUAGAAAUGAACCAGCCCAUUAUUCCCAGUUUAUUAAAUAAUGUAUUAACACUGCUAAUAUAGUAGGCAAACAACAUUGGUUUGUCUGAACACUGUAAUAUUUUGCUGUAAACAUAUAAAUACAGUAUUCAUUUACCCUGUACAUGUUCCCAAUGUACUUUAAAAUAAACCAAGUAAUUUCACAGGAGAACUUUGACCAAGCCUAACCUAACACAAUUGAAACAAUGAGCUCAAUAC
Long non-coding RNA from Coturnix japonica (Japanese quail), 4984 nucleotides. RefSeq lists it as uncharacterized. Lineage: Eukaryota; Metazoa; Chordata; Aves; Galliformes; Phasianidae. The record is from RefSeq and is a predicted model, not a curated record.